CUAAACCACUGGCAACAAAAGUGAGCACACCCCUAAGUGAAAAUGUCUAAAUUGGGACCAAUUAGCCAUUUUCCCUCCCUGGUGUCAUAUGACUUGUUAGUGUUACAAGGUUUCAGGUGUGAAUGGGGAGCAGGUGUGUUAAAUUUGGUGUCAUCAUUCUCACACUCCCUCAUACUAGUCACUGGAAGUUCAGCAUGGCACCUCAUGGCAAAGAACUCUCUGAGGAUCUGAAAAAAAGAAUCGUUGCUCUACAUAAAGAUGGCCUAGGCUAUAAGAAGAUUGCCAAGACCCUGACACUGAGCUGCAGCACGGUGGCCAAGACCAUACAGCGGUUUAACAGGACAGGGUCCACUCAGAACAGGCCUCGCCAUGGUCGACCAAAGAAGUUGAGUGCAUGUGCUCAGAGUCAUAUCCAGAGGUUGUCUUUGGGAAAUAGAUGUAUGAGUGCUGCCAGCAUUGCUGCAGAGGUUGAAGGGAGGGGGGGGUCAGCCUGUCAGUACUCAGACCAUACGCCGCACACUGCAUGAAAUUGGUCGGCAUGGCUGUCGUCCCAGAAGGAAGCCUCUUCUAAAGAUGAUGCCCAAGAAAGCCCGCAAACAGUUUGCUGAAGACAAGCAGACUAAGGACAUGGAUUACUGGAACCAUGUCCUGUGGUCUGAUGAGACCAAGAUAAACUUAUUUGGUUCAGAUGGUGUCAAUGUAGAUGUACUGUGACAUACUGAAGCAGAGCAUGAUCCCCUCCCUUCGGAGACUGCGCCACAGGGCAGUAUUCCAGCAUGAUAAUGACCCCAAACACACCUCCAAGAUGAUUGCCGCCUUGCUAAAGAAGCUGAGGGUGAAGGUGAUGGACUAAACCCUAUUGAGCAUCUGUGGGGCAUCCUCAAACGGCAGGUGUCUUGUUCUAAGUUGUCUAACACAUCUACAUGGAAAUAUGAGGAAAUGAAGGCUGAAAUUCUGAACUAUCAUCUCGUAUUCAUCUUUAAAUUUAAACCGAAAUGUCUUCAAUGUAUAGCAACA
Ictalurus punctatus (channel catfish) is the source of this 1017-nucleotide long non-coding RNA. The record is from Ensembl. Lineage: Eukaryota; Metazoa; Chordata; Actinopteri; Siluriformes; Ictaluridae.